GGAUGCGAGGGCGAUCUGGCUGCAAAAUCUGUCACCCCAUUGAUUGCCAGGGUUGAUUAGGCUGAUCUGGCUGACUAGGCAGGUAUCUCCUUCCUCCCUCACCGCUCCAUAUCCAUCCUUCCCGAAGCUGCAUGCUCAGUAGAAGAGGAUGACCAUCUUCAAUAGAGGAGAAUCUUUCUUUGGUCAAGGGUAUACGAGUAGCUGUGUUCCCCUGUUUAGAACCUCCAUACAAGCUCUGAGGAAGUACGAACUCAGUACAGCCUACAAAUAAAUGAUGUCCAAUGUGCCUAGUGCAUACCAUAAUU
RNAcentral lists this small nuclear RNA (305 nucleotides) under Tupaia belangeri chinensis (Chinese tree shrew). Its description in RNAcentral is "Tupaia chinensis (Chinese tree shrew) 7SK RNA". It matches the Rfam family "7SK RNA". From Rfam's summary of the family: 7SK was discovered as an abundant small nuclear RNA in the mid-70s but a possible function has only recently been suggested. Two independent studies have found that 7SK RNA binds the CDK9/cyclin T complex (known as elongation factor P-TEFb). Lineage: Eukaryota; Metazoa; Chordata; Mammalia; Scandentia; Tupaiidae. The record is from Rfam by way of RNAcentral.